RNAcentral lists this long non-coding RNA (1210 nucleotides) under Medicago truncatula (barrel medic). RNAcentral's name for it is "long non-coding RNA (MTRU_LNC005641)". The record is from RNAcentral. Lineage: Eukaryota; Viridiplantae; Streptophyta; Magnoliopsida; Fabales; Fabaceae.
ACUGAGUUUCGUUCCCAGCCUGGUCCGAAACAACUACGAAGGUGAUUGAACAAAGAAACAUUCUUACGAGAGACACAAAUUCCCUUUGAGUGGGUACAAUUUUUAAAGAGUAAUGAUAUAUAGACAUCCUUUAAAUGUAACAUCCACUUGUUAAUAGCCGCAGUUAUACUUAUAUAAGUCUUUGACAUUUAAUCUUGUCAUCACAUAGGUAUAAGUAAGGCUAAUUUGUCUUUUUGGUCCCUUAACUAUUUAAUUAAUAUUGGUUUGGUCCCCUAAUUAAAAAUUGAUUUAUUUUGGUCCCUUAAAUUUCUCUUUGUUACAUAUUUUGGUGCUUUCCGUUAGUUUAAUUUAAAAAAAAAAAAACGUUAGGAUUUAUGCAAUCAUCAGCUUCAUUCAACUUCUUCAUCAUCUUCCUCAUCCACCUUCAUCAACCCUCAUACAAAAAAAACCCAGCAAAACAAAUAGUUUUUCAGCAUGUUCAUAAUUAUAAUUUUUUUUUUUUUUUUUUAUCAUUUCUUUUUAUUCUUCCCUUCUCAAUUGAUUCACUUCAACUCAAAUCCCUAACCCCUCUUUUAUUCUUCCAUUCCCAAAUUCAUCAACAGUCACCGUGUCUUUCCCAUUCAAAAUUACUUAUGCUGAAAAAAUCAUUGCUUUCGCCUCUCACCUUAUAAUGGCUUAUAAUUGACUCUUCUAAUUUCUUUAACAAUUUCUUUGCUUUUCUUCUGCAAGGAGUAAAUUUCCAGGAAAAAUUAGAAAAUAAAGAAUUCAAAAUUCUAUCUCUUUCCAAAUUCACCAAAGAAAUCCAUGAACAUCUAACAACCUGGCUUUAGAUCCGCACAAUCACCGUCUUUUUCCUCUCGCCGUCACCAUCGAUACGCUGGCCACCGUGACUACCUCCCUCGUCACUGUACCGCUACGAAAACCCAACACAAUCAUCACUUUCUCAACCCCACUUCUAAACGAAGGCUGCAACAACAACCAACAACAAUAAACGAAGAAGAAGAACCCACAACAACAACAAAUCUAUGUCAAUAAAAUCUGAUGUUAUUCUUUGUACUAAAUUGAUCAAGUUUUUUUUUUUUUUAAUUUGAUUAAGGGGUUAUUCUUUGUACUAAAUGAAAUAUGAUGUUAUUCUUUCUACGCCAAUAACAAAUCUACCUUUGCCGUUUUCAAAUAGCUCUUAGCCAAAGCUACCUCACAUAUACACAUA